UGCCCCACCGGAGCUCCUCUGGAGAGCCCGAUGUAGUGCUUCCCUCCCCUGGGAGUCCCUUUCGCUUUCCCUCUACUUCCUACCCGACAACCCCAAAGCUGGAAAAAUAGUCUUACCCUAGAAUUUAUCUUCUCUUCAAUUUUUCAAGAUGCAAGUCCCAUGUAGCAGAAGACAAACUCGUUCUAGUGAGCCGUCGCCGGCACCACCACCCUCUGUCAUUUACCUAAUUUACAAGCACUGUCGCGGUGACCUUUACCCUUAUUCAAUGUAUGCUUUGAAGAUUGUUGAUACUGAGAAUGGGGAUACCAAGCUGCUACCUGAACCCAUCUUCCGGUUGAACAAAAAUAGUUUUUCCGUUGCCCCGGGGUUUUGUAGAAAUGGAUUAAAAAAUUUUUGUAGUUGGGGGGAAUGUCGGCGUUUGGACCGAGCGAAGACAAGUACGUGUUGCAUACAUACGUGUUUGAUUCUACAAAGCCUCUUCCUCCGCCUGCCACAGUUGAUGAUCCGAAGAAGUGUUUUUUAUCAAGGGUCCCCGGUUGAAUGCUCCCAAGGUUGAUCCUAUUUUAAUCACGUUUGAGGGAAGAAUUUACGCAUUUCCACGUUGGUUCAGCCAGCGCAGUCCUACUACUCCUAAAUGUGAGGUACUUGACUUGGAAACCUGGUCAUUGAGUGGAGGUAUGUUCCGCAAUUGGCUGGCGUUAGCAAAUUACCUUUUAGUGGCAUCACUAUUUGUAUAGGUGAGAAACAUUUUGCAGUUGUCAGUGAUACAUUAUGCAAAUAUGAUUUUGCUCUAGAAAAGGGAUUGGCUGAGGGGAAAGGUUUGGUUGAUCUAGAUGAUGAGAAUUUAGUAGCUCAUGUGGAUUAUGGUGUGGUCUAUCCAGGAGAUAAAAAGCUAUGUGUUGUUAGAUGUGGCCUGGAUAGACCAUUAGAUCAUUUUAAUGAUGAUGAAUGUCGUAAUUUCAUAAGUUGCGAUAUAUAUAAAGCUAGAGGACAUCGACAGAAGAAGACCAAUCUAUCCGGACUUGUUCACCUGGCUUCUUCCACAUGCUCUAUGGAUGACAAUCCUGGUUUUUAUGGACUGCUCAAGGCCUGCUUUCCUAUGAGGAAUGAGGCUGAGUAGAGUGACAUCUCAUGGGACUUGUGAUUUGAUAUUUGCUUCAGGAGGAUAGUUGAUCUUGGUGGUUUUGUGGACAUUGGUUAUUCGAUGCUCUCUCUGGAUGUGAGACCUGUUGAUUUGAAUUGCCUUGACAAGAUUUUUGUCUAGAACAACAUGUAUAGGCAAUUAACUACCACUAAAGAAAUAUUAGUAUGUAUAACCCCAAUCAACUGCCACUAGAGAAAUAUUAGUAUUGUAAUGGAUGGUUUUGAUUCCUUUUG
Theobroma cacao (cacao) is the source of this 1377-nucleotide non-coding RNA. The record is from RefSeq and is a predicted model, not a curated record. Lineage: Eukaryota; Viridiplantae; Streptophyta; Magnoliopsida; Malvales; Malvaceae.